Molecule: ribosomal RNA, 500 nt
Filed under: uncultured Oscillibacter sp.
Lineage: Bacteria; Bacillati; Bacillota; Clostridia; Eubacteriales; Oscillospiraceae
Description: partial 16S ribosomal RNA
Source: RNAcentral
CACGUAGUUAGCCGUGGCUUAUUCAAGGGGUACCGUCUUCUGCUCUUCCCCCUUAAAAGAAGUUUACAACCCGAAAGUCUUCUUCCUUCACGCGGCGUUGCUGGGUCAGACUUGCGUCCAUUGCCCAAUAUUCCCCACUGCUGCCUCCCGUAGGAGUCUGGGCCGUAUCUCAGUCCCAAUGUGGCCGGCCAACCUCUCAGUCCGGCUACUGAUCGUCGCCUUGGUGGGCCGUUACCCCACCAACUAGCUAAUCAGACGCGAGGCCAUCUUUCGGCGAUAAAUCUUUGACAUCAGAGCCAUGCGACCCCAAUGUAUCAUGCGGUAUUAGCAGUCGUUUCCAACUGUUGUCCCCCUCGAAAGGCAGGUUCCUCACGCGUUACUCACCAGUCCGCACUACGCAUUCCCUUCGUUGUCCGAAAACUCCUUCAGGGGUGCUCCGUUCGACUUGCAUGUGUUAAGCACGCCGCCAGCGUUCGUCCUGAGCCAGGGAUACAACUACU